UGUAGCUCAGUGGUAGGGUAUAUGCUUAACAUACAUAAGGCCAGGGUUCGAUCCCCAGCA
RNAcentral lists this transfer RNA (60 nucleotides) under Cricetulus griseus (Chinese hamster). It matches the Rfam family "tRNA", at positions 6 to 65 of the family's 71-position model. Rfam says of the family: Transfer RNA (tRNA) molecules are approximately 80 nucleotides in length. The record is from Rfam by way of RNAcentral. Lineage: Eukaryota; Metazoa; Chordata; Mammalia; Rodentia; Cricetidae.